RNAcentral lists this ribosomal RNA (253 nucleotides) under uncultured bacterium. RNAcentral's name for it is "partial 16S ribosomal RNA". It matches the Rfam family "Archaeal small subunit ribosomal RNA", at positions 474 to 727 of the family's 1478-position model. The record is from RNAcentral.
UACCAGCACCCCGAGUGGUCGGGACGAUUAUUGGGCCUAAAGCAUCCGUAGCCGGUUCUACAAGUCUUCCGUUAAAUCCACCUGCUUAACAGAUGGGCUGCGGAGGAUACUAUGGAGCUAGGAGGCGGGAGAGGCAAGCGGUACUUAGUGGGUAGGGGUAAAAUCCGUUGAUCCAUUGAAGACCACCAGUGGCGAAGGCGGCUUGCCAGAACGCACUCGACAGUGAGGGAUGAAAGCUGGGGGAGCAAACCGG